GUAGGCGGAUUAGAAAGUUAGGGGUGAAAUCCCGAGGCUCAACCUCGGAACUGCCUCUAAAACUUCUAGUCUAGAGAUCGGGAGAGGUGUAUGGAACUCCUAGUGUAGAGGUGGAAUUCGUAGAUAUUAGGAAGAACACCAGUGGCGAAGGCGAUACACUGGCCCGAUACUGACGCUGAGGUACGAAAGCGUGGGGAGCAAACAGGAUUAGAUACCCUGGUAGUCCACGCCGUAAACUAUGAGAGCUAGCCGUUGGGAAGUUUACUUUUCAGUGGCGCAGCUAACGCAUUAAGCUCUCCGCCUGGGGAGUACGGUCGCAAGAUUAAAACUCAAAUGAAUUGACGGGGGCCCGCACAAGCGGUGGAGCAUGUGGUUUAAUUCGAAGCAACGCGAAGAACCUUACCAGCUCUUGACAUACCUAUCGCAGUCUCCAGAGAUGGAGACCUUCAGUUCGGCUGGAUAGGAUACAGGUGCUGCACGGCUGUCGUCAGCUCGUGUCGUGAGAUGUUGGGUUAAGUCCCGCAACGAGCGCAACCCUCGCCCUUAGUUGCCAGCAUUUAGUUGGGCACUCUAGGGGGACUGCCGGUGAUAAGCCGGAGGAAGGUGGGGACGACGUCAAGUCAUCAUGGCCCUUACGGGCUGGGCUACACACGUGCUACAAUGGCGGUGACAGAGGGCAGCCACUCCGCGAGGAGGAGCUAAUCCCUAAAAACCGUCUCAGUUCGGAUUGCACUCUGCAACUCGGGUGCAUGAAGUUGGAAUCGCUAGUAAUCGUGGGUCAGCAUACCACGGUGAAUACGUUCCCGGGCCUUGUACACACCGCCCGUCACACCAUGGGAGUUGGUUCUACCCGAAGGCGCUGCGCUAACUUUUGAGGCAGGCGACCACGGUAGGGUCAGCGACUGGGGUGAAGUCGUAACAAGGUAGCCCUAGGGGAACCUGGGGCUG
RNAcentral lists this ribosomal RNA (948 nucleotides) under bioreactor metagenome. RNAcentral describes it as "bacterial SSU rRNA". It matches the Rfam family "Bacterial small subunit ribosomal RNA", at positions 571 to 1520 of the family's 1533-position model. The record is from RNAcentral.